This 408-nucleotide ribosomal RNA is filed under the name Triticum aestivum (bread wheat). RNAcentral describes it as "partial small subunit ribosomal RNA". The record is from RNAcentral. Lineage: Eukaryota; Viridiplantae; Streptophyta; Magnoliopsida; Poales; Poaceae.
AUGCUUAAAAUAGAUCUUGCCAAAGCUUUUGAUAGACUCGAGUGGAAUUUCAUUGUUGCUGCUCUUGCACGUAAAGGGUUGCACGGUCAUUUUAUUAAUUUAGUCAACUCAUGUGUUUCUUCGCCGACUUUUUCUGUUGUCAUUAAUGGUCAACCGUUUGCGAGAUUCAGAGGAGACAGAGGUGUUCGACAAGGUUGUCCCCUGUCCCCAUACCUUUUUGUCCUAGCAAUCAAUGAACUUUCAAUUGCUCUACAAGAGGCCAUGGCAGCUAACUAUUUUGAAGGUAUAACUCUGGGACCAAAUUGCCCUGCUAUACACUCUCUCCUUUUUGCAGAUGAUCUACUUGUUUGUGGAAAGGAUACAGUACAAGAAGCAACUAGAAUGAAGCAGAUCUUGCAUGAUUUCUGC